GGCUCAUUAAAUCAGCUAUGGUUUAUUGGAUCAUACCCGUUAAAUGGAUAACUGUAAUAACUCUAGAGCUAAUACAUGCCACGAUGCCCUGACCCUUCCGGGAAUGGGUGCACUUAUUAGAUCAGAAGCCAACCGUGCAUGCCCGCAAGGGUGUGCAUGUUGACCUUCUGGUGACUCUGGAUAAUUGUUACAGAUCGCAGUCGGCCUUGAGUCGGCGACGGGUCCUUCAAAUGUCUGCCCUAUCAACUUUCGAUGGUAGGUGACCUGCCUACCAUGGUGAUAACGGGUAACGGGGAAUCAGGGUUCGAUUCCGGAGAGGGAGCCUGAGAAACGGCUACCACUUCCAAGGGAGGCAGCAGGCGCGCAAAUUACCCACUCCCGGUACGGGGAGGUGGUGACGAAAAAUACCGAUGCGGGACUCUCAACGAGGCUCCGUAAUCGGAAUGAGUGAACUAUAAAUCCUUUCACGAGGAUCAAUUGGAGGGCAAGUCUGGUGCCAGCAGCCGCGGUAACUCCAGCUCCAAUAGCGUAUAUUAAAGUUGCUGCAGUUAAAAAGCUCGUAGUUGGAUCUCGGUACCACUGUCGCUCGUCAGUCCUUUGGUGGAUGGCUAUGUGUGCAUGGGCACGACCUGUGUUGCCAUGGUUAUUCUGCCCGAGUUGGCGGUGUGAUGGUGUCGCCUUUCAGCCAUGUCUGUGGUGAAAUACCCUCAGGUGUAGGCGAGUGUCGGGUGUUGCCCAGCAUUAGUUGGGUUCGCCGGCUCGUCUGCAUGCCUUUGGAUGCCCUUUAAAAGGUGUCUGUGGGCGGAUGGCACGUUUACUUUGAACAAAUUUGAGUGCUCAAACCAGGCCGAUGUUGCCUGAAAAGUUUUGCAUGGAAUAAUGGAAUAGGACUUCGGUUCUAUUUCGUUGGUUUUCGGAUCCGAAGUAAUGAUCAAAAGAGACAGGCGGGGACGUUUGUAUGGCUGCGCUAGAGGUGAAAUUCAUGGACCGUAGCCAGACAAACUAAAGCGAAAGCAUUCGUCAAGCAUGUUUUCAUUGGCCAUGAGCGAAAGUCAGAGGCUCGAAGACGAUCAGAUACCGUCCUAGUUCUGACCAUAAACGAUGCCAACUGACGAUCCGUGGUGGUAGUUCAUCAACCUUCCCCACGGGCAGUCCCCGGGAAACCUUUAAGUCUUUGGGUUCCGGGGGAAGUAUGGUUGCAAAGCUGAAACUUAAAGGAAUUGACGGAAGGGCACCACCAGGAGUGGAGCCUGCGGCUUAAUUUGACUCAACACGGGAAAACUCACCCGGCCCGGACACUAUGAGGAUUGACAGAUUGAAAGCUCUUUCUUGAUUUGGUGGUUGGUGGUGCAUGGCCGUUCUUAGUUGGUGGAGCGAUUUGUCUGGUUAAUUCCGAUAACGAACGAGACUCCUGCCUGCUAAUUAGUGCACUUGUCAACUGUACUUGUGUAAGCGGUGUUUGGCGAGGCUGCUUUCAUAUGUCGCGAGGAGUCGCGGUGGGUUCCUUCGGGGGCUCAUCGUCUCUGAGUGGCGAGGGUGGCUGGUCCGGCACUAGCUUCCGGGUGCGGAGCGGGUGUCUACUUCUUAGAGGGACAAGCGGGAGAAGCCGCACGAAAUGGAGCAAUAACAGGUCUGUGAUGCCCUUAGAUGUCCGGGGCCGCACGCGCGCUACAAUGACGGUGGCAAUGAGUCUGACCUUCUGGCCCGAAAGGGUUGGGCAAACUGGUCAAUCACCGUCAUGACAGGGAUCGGGGCUUGGAAUUGUUCCCCGUGAACGAGGAAUUCCUAGUAAGUGCAAGUCAUAAGCUUGCGCUGAUUACGUCCCUGCCCUUUGUACACACCGCCCGUCGCUACUACCGAUUGAAUGGUUUAGUAAGGUCCUUGGAUUGGCGCCAUUGUGGUGGUUGCCGAAAGGUAAUCUGCCCGACAGGUGCUGAGAAGACGACCAAACUUGAUCAUUUAGAGGAAGUAAAAGUCGUA
This 1980-nucleotide ribosomal RNA is filed under the name Peltidocotyle rugosa. RNAcentral describes it as "SSU rRNA". It matches the Rfam family "Eukaryotic small subunit ribosomal RNA". The record is from RNAcentral. Lineage: Eukaryota; Metazoa; Platyhelminthes; Cestoda; Proteocephalidea; Proteocephalidae.